GCCUGGAGUUCAUUCCUGCUUGAACAACAAAGGUACAGAGAUCAUACUACACACCCAGAACACUGAAGCACUUGCCAUGCAGGCAGUACUUCUCUUUUAUGAAAAGAUGAUACAGAUCAGUUGCAACUAUGUUACACCACCACCAUGUACAACGACCGGACACCGAAACAUCAUCCUAGUGCAGAGCUGUGAGGAUUGCAGUGGCGCUCUCAACCUUGAAGGUUGCACCACAGAUCUCUUCUUCAUUUGCAGGAACAGCAGUCACCUUGUUCUUUGGGUUCUCAUAGCACUUCAAGCCUCCAAGAGCAUUGGAAUAGAAGCAACCUUGUGGGAAAGGUGCAAGUGACUUGCCACAUGAUCCUUUAAGCAGGUCAAUGUCGUUAGAGAAGGCAACAGAUCCAUCA
RNAcentral lists this unclassified non-coding RNA (404 nucleotides) under Hevea brasiliensis (rubber tree). Lineage: Eukaryota; Viridiplantae; Streptophyta; Magnoliopsida; Malpighiales; Euphorbiaceae. The record is from RNAcentral.